RNAcentral lists this ribosomal RNA (253 nucleotides) under uncultured bacterium. RNAcentral describes it as "partial 16S ribosomal RNA". It matches the Rfam family "Bacterial small subunit ribosomal RNA", at positions 524 to 776 of the family's 1533-position model. The record is from RNAcentral.
UACAGAGGGUGCAAGCGUUGUUCGGAAUUAUUGGGCGUAAAGGGCGCGUAGGCGGUGCGGUAAGUCCGCAGUGAAAUCUCUGGGCUCAACUCAGAGUCUGCUGUGGAAACUGCCGUGCUUGAGGACUGGAGAGGAGACUGGAAUUUACGGUGUAGCGGUGAAAUGCGUAGAUAUCGUAAGGAAGACCAGUGGCGAAGGCGGGUCUCUGGACAGUUCCUGACGCUGAGGCACGAAGGUCAGGGGAGCAAACGGG